AUUGAACGCUGGCGGCAUGCUUUACACAUGCAAGUCGAACGGUAGCGGGCGGUUCGGUCACGCGGCGAGGCGCACGCGUGAGUGUUAUAACCACGCGGGUACCCUGCCGAGGGGGAACGCAUAGCAAGAGUAGACAAAACCGCAAACCGCAUAUGGCUGCGAACGGGGGGGUUUAAGGCACCACGCGGUCGCAGCGGUCGAUGUCUGAUUAGCUAGUUGGUGGGGUAAAGGGUCACCAAGGCAACGAUCUGUAGCUGGCCUGAGAGGACGACCAGCCACACUGGGACUGAGACACGGCCCAGACUCCUACGGGAGGCAGCAGUGGGGAAUUUUGGACAAUGGGCGCAAGCCUGAUCCAGCAAUGCCGCGUGAGUGAAGAAGGCCUUCGGGUUGUAAACCGCUUUUGUACGGAACGAAAAGGCGCUGGCGAAUACCCCGGGGCAAUGACGGUACCUAAAGAAUAAGCACCGGCUAACUACGUG
RNAcentral lists this ribosomal RNA (482 nucleotides) under uncultured bacterium. Its description in RNAcentral is "partial 16S ribosomal RNA". It matches the Rfam family "Bacterial small subunit ribosomal RNA", at positions 29 to 507 of the family's 1533-position model. The record is from RNAcentral.